CCUUCGGGGUACACGAGCGGCGAACGGGUGAGUAACACGUGAGCAACCUGCCCCUGACUCCGGGAUAAGCGGUGGAAACGCCGUCUAAUACCGGAUACGACCCUCCUCCGCAUGGUGGGGGGUGGAAAGUUUUUUCGGUCGGGGAUGGGCUCGCGGCCUAUCAGCUUGUUGGUGGGGUAACGGCCUACCAAGGCGAUUACGGGUAGCCGGCCUGAGAGGGCGACCGGCCACACUGGGACUGAGACACGGCCCAGACUCCUGCGGGAGGCAGCAGUGGGGAAUAUUGCGCAAUGGGCGAAAGCCUGACGCAGCGACGCCGCGUGGGGGAUGACGGCCUUCGGGUUGUAAACCUCUUUUACCACUCACGCAGGCCCCACGUUUUCGUGGGGUUGACGGUAGGUGGGGAAUAAGGACCGGCUAACUACGUGCCAGCAGCCGCGGUAAUACGUAGGGUCCGAGCGUUGUCCGGAAUUAUUGGGCGUAAAGAGCUCGUAGGCGGCGUGUCGCGUCUGCUGUGAAAGACCGGGGCUUAACCCCGGUUCUGCAGUGGAUACGGGCAUGCUAGAGGUAGGUAGGGGAGACUGGAAUUCCUGGUGUAGCGGUGAAAUGCGCAGAUAUCAGGAGGAACACCGGUGGCG
Molecule: ribosomal RNA, 638 nt
Filed under: Nocardiopsis sp. 11460
Lineage: Bacteria; Bacillati; Actinomycetota; Actinomycetes; Streptosporangiales; Nocardiopsidaceae
Description: bacterial SSU rRNA
Rfam family: Bacterial small subunit ribosomal RNA
Source: RNAcentral